This 627-nucleotide long non-coding RNA is filed under the name Sus scrofa (pig). RNAcentral describes it as "lncRNA (ENSSSCG00050074198.1)". Lineage: Eukaryota; Metazoa; Chordata; Mammalia; Artiodactyla; Suidae. The record is from RNAcentral.
UGGAAAAGAGUUUAGACAAGAAACCCAGAAACUCCUUUAAUGAGAAGGACCUUUGGCUAUUUGGAAUAUUGGCCCUUGUUCCUGCCAGGGAACUCUUGGCUUUUUGUGGAAAAUUGGGUACAUUUCCAUGAUGGCCUUCAUCAACAGACCUCUUCUCUCACCUCCCGGAAGAAGUUACUGCCUUUCUUCAGCAUCUGUGCUUUCCUUCCCAGCCGUCAAGUCAAACAGUGAUUAAGUGCCUACUGUAUGCACGGCUCCAGUUGCCGGAUGGGUUCUUGUUCUCAAAUCGCUCCCACCACCAAAGUGGCCUCCUGGCCUGGCACAGCCGACCAGCCCCACCAGGAAAUCCGGGACUGGACCUGGGCAGAACAGAAUGGCUGUCCUCCAGAGUUUAGACAACUGGUCCACACUGAAGACAUUGUUUCUGAAAGAGUUCCCAUGACAACCUCCCUCUUCAAGGGUAUAGAGAAUUUAUUCAAAGUCAGAUACAGACUGGCCAAACCACCUUCUACAAAGUGGACAGGAAAAAAGAGCCUACAGAAAAGGUAGGAGUUGUUAUAAAAUUGCCUUAAUUCCGCUCUCUCUGCGUUACAAGCCGGGGGUGGGCAGUGGACUGCCAUGCUGUGU